This 468-nucleotide ribosomal RNA is filed under the name uncultured bacterium. Its description in RNAcentral is "partial 16S ribosomal RNA". It matches the Rfam family "Bacterial small subunit ribosomal RNA", at positions 29 to 507 of the family's 1533-position model. The record is from RNAcentral.
AGCGAACGCUGGCGGCAGGCCUAACACAUGCAAGUCGAACGGUGAAGGCGGAGCUUGCUCUGCUGGAUCAGUGGCGAACGGGUGAGUAACACGUGAGCAAUCUGCCCCUGACUCUGGGAUAAGCGCUGGAAACGGCGUCUAAUACUGGAUACGAGCUGCGACGGCAUCUUCAGCAGCUGGAAAGAACUUCGGUCAGGGAUGAGCUCGCGGCCUAUCAGCUUGUUGGUGGGGUAACGGCUCACCAAGGCGUCGACGGGUAGCCGGCCUGAGAGGGUGACCGGCCACACUGGGACUGAGACACGGCCCAGACUCCUACGGGAGGCAGCAGUGGGGAAUAUUGCACAAUGGGCGAAAGCCUGAUGCAGCAACGCCGCGUGAGGGACGACGGCCUUCGGGUUGUAAACCUCUUUUAGCAGGGAAGAAGCGAAAGUGACGGUACCUGCAGAAAAAGCGCCGGCUAACUACGUG